RNAcentral lists this ribosomal RNA (465 nucleotides) under uncultured bacterium. RNAcentral describes it as "partial 16S ribosomal RNA". It matches the Rfam family "Bacterial small subunit ribosomal RNA", at positions 338 to 795 of the family's 1533-position model. The record is from RNAcentral.
CCUACGGGUGGCAGCAGUGGGGAAUAUUGCGCAAUGGGCGAAAGCCUGACGCAGCGACGCCGCGUGAGGGAUGAAGGUCCUCGGAUCGUAAACCUCUGUCAGCAGGGAAGAACGGUCACUGUGCUAAUCAGCAGUGAAUUGACGGUACCUGCAAAGGAAGCACCGGCUAACUCCGUGCCAGCAGCCGCGGUAAUACGGAGGGUGCGAGCGUUAAUCGGAAUUACUGGGCGUAAAGCGCUCGUAGGCGGUAUGUCAAGUCAAGGGUGAAAUCCCCGCGCUCAACGUGGGAACUGCAUUUGAAACUGGCAAACUGGAGUGUGUGAGAGGAUAGUGGAAUUCCAGGUGUAGGAGUGAAAUGCGUAGAUAUCUGGAGGAACAUCGGUGGCGAAGGCGACUAUCUGGCACAUAACUGACGCUGAGGAGCGAAAGCGUGGGUAGCAAACAGGAUUAGAUACCCCUGUAGUC